RNAcentral lists this ribosomal RNA (1170 nucleotides) under Triticum aestivum (bread wheat). RNAcentral's name for it is "partial small subunit ribosomal RNA". Lineage: Eukaryota; Viridiplantae; Streptophyta; Magnoliopsida; Poales; Poaceae. The record is from RNAcentral.
AUGGAAUGGAAUCCCGGGUAUCCAAGAAGAAGAAGAGGAAGAGGGACACGGAGAGUAGCCCGUACGUUCUCCCGGCUCUCCGACGAUCUCCUCGUCGAGAUCAUCUCGCGCGUGCCCUUCAAAUCCACCCGUUGCUGCAAGUGCGUCUGCAGGCGAUGGCGCGACGUCGUCUCCAACCCUGACCACCGCAAGAAGCUGCCUCGGUCGACCCUCGCCGGCUUCUUCUACAGAACCGGGCAUCUGUGUUGCAGAACUAUGAACCGUCAUUACAAAAGCCUAACAGGGAAGAAGUGGUGCCGCGGCAUCGACCCCGCCCUCAAGUUCCUGCCCAAAUACAGACUCUGUGACAUUCACAUUGACAUGUUGGACUGCUGCAAUGGCCUCCUGCUUUGCCGACGACAGCAGACCGAUUAUCACGGGACAACGGACUACGUGGUGUGCAAUCCGGCCACUAAGACAUGGAUUGCCGUGCCUGGCACCGACCGGUCCCGCGAGCUGCGCGUCGCUCGCCUUGGGUUCGACCCGGUCGUCUCCUCUCACUUCCGUGUACUUGAGUUUGCACCGACGGAUGAUAAUGAUACACACGUCAAGCCAUUGGGGAUCUACUCCUCAGAAGCUGGAGCCUGGACACAUCGGAGCGAUUGGAAAUGUCCAAUUGAUAUAAAUAAAUAUUCCAGUAGCGCAUUUUUCAGAGGGGUGCUAUAUUUAUCUUCCUAUGAAGAUAAGGUUGUAGCCGUCGACUUGGAGGGAAAUUGUAGGGUCAUUCAUAUUCCUACCUUACAUGAUUCUUGUAUUGCUCGUGAAGUUUAUGUAUCACAGGGACAAUUGUAUGUUGUAAUUUCUAGUGAUUCUGAACUAUCAAUGUGGGCUCUUGAAGAUUCUAGUACUGAAAAUUGGACCUUGAAGCACAAUCUCAGCCAUUUGCAAUUGUUUGGAGCAGAGGAUUCAUCUUAUGAGCAGGACUAUGAUAUUAUCAUCCACCCAGAAUGCAAUCUGAUAUUUAUACUACUUACGAGAUUCUACUCGACAUGCAGAUCAGCGACGAAACUAAUGUCAUACGACAUGGAUUCUAGGACUGUGCAUUCUAUAAGUGAUUUUGCACAUGACUGGAAGAGUCCUUAUCUUUCAUAUGUUCCCUUGUUCUCAGGUUCACUGGCUGAUGGGCAGUAG